This is a long non-coding RNA of Mya arenaria, 3786 nucleotides long. RefSeq lists it as uncharacterized. The record is from RefSeq and is a predicted model, not a curated record. The transcript has 2 exons. NCBI's taxonomy places the organism in Eukaryota, Metazoa, Mollusca, Bivalvia, Myida, Myidae.
GCAAAUUUUUGCGUAAAUAUCUGCAACCCAUUGAUGUAAGAUUGUUGAUAAAAAAACAGAUCUUAGAUUUUCAUAUUUUCGAAAAUGUUUUAGAGCUUAAAACCUUACUAACGGUUUAAGAAAAAUGCAUAAAACAUCAAUUUAUGAACUUAAAUAUAAAAAUCCGCGAUCUAAUUUUUUGUCAGCAGUCUUAUUAACUGGUUUCCAUGGAUUGUAGCGAAAAUUGGCUUGUUCCAAGACAAAAAUUAAAAAGUUGUCGAAAUGUUUAAUCUGUGAUAGUGCAGCUUUAAUUAUGGUAGCUUUUCAGUCAUUUGCCUAUAUAUGUCUAUUUGAUUCAGUAAAUACUUCAUAAUAUUAAAGCUAGGCUUAUUAGGAUAUGCUUAUUUUUCAUUGGGUUCUAUUUUUAGCACAUAACAGCUUCAUUACAAGAAUAUAUUAAUUAUUAUUAAAGCUGCAUGCACUCUCACAAAUUUACCGUUUUUACAACUUUUUUAUUUUUUUUGUCUUGGAAAGAGCAAAUUUUUGGGUUUAAUAGUAUCUGCAAACCAAUGAUAAAAGACUGCUGACAUAGAUCAUAUCGCAGAUUUGCAUAUUUUCGUUUGAAAGCCAAUGUUUUGUGGGUUAAACUAUUACUAACAGUUAAAGAAAAAUGCAUGAUCUAAUUUUUUGUCAGCAGUUUUAUAUCACUGGUUUUCAUGGAUUCUUGAAAAAAAAAAUACUUCCUCUGUUGGCCAAUUGAGAACAAAAUCAAGAGGUUUUGGGUUUUGCUGUUUAUAUGUUCUGGAAUUUUUCAAAAGCAUUUAUUUAUAGGACUUAUGAAUUUUAUGUACAGCAUUCUGUAUAUUGUCAAGUGUCCUUUUUUAAAUUAUAUACAACAUGUAUAAAUUUAAUGUUUCAGGAAAUAACCACCAUCUCUCUCAGAGGUCAUCUUUCUCAUUAUUGUGGGAAACCUCAAAGGGCAUCAGGAAAACCUUCAUCAACCUCUUUGUGCCCAGUGGCUUGUGCAACAGUGUUUCAGAAAUUAUCAUUAAAAUGGGGAUAAUGGAUGACUGGCCACACAUAUGGGGCUAUGGACAAGCUUCAGAGCAGGCUGCCAGGUGGUGGUGUUAGUAGUUUAUACUCUGGGUCCCGGCGUGAGCACAUUGAAGGGUCCCAGAGUGACAGUUCAACCACCCACACCUAUCCUGGGCAGAACCAGUACUAGGUGCCUUCACCUCUGCAAGGAACUGACAGCUUCUGUACAUGCCAGGUGCAGUGGUACAGUGCGAAUGGUCGUAGAAAGGAUUUCAUAACCAAUCACAACAGAGGUCACCUGGUCCGCCCGGGAAUCGAACCCGGGAUGUCCAAUUCAGAGUCCAACGCUCUACCGAUUGAGCUGACCGGGCGGACAUAUUAGCUACAUUAGAUGACAAGCCAUCUAUGCUGGACAUUCUUCACAAUAAAAUGUGAUGUCACAGGAGCUGUCUAUCUCAACAGCUCACACUGUCCGUAUUUGACUAAAGGAAUGAAUGAAGUCACUGCAGAAGUUAGAUUGAGGAAUGUCCAUGUCACUACCCAUCAUUUGGAAGGAGUUGGAUAAAAAAAGUGUGGCCUAUGUAUUGAAACAGGUCCGAUUUCCAGUUACGGACAGUCUUGAUUUGUCUGAUUACAUUUUUGACCAACAUGAUGGUCUAAAAGAACACUUACUGGUAACUGGUAAAAUCAUGGCCCAGUUGUUCCAAGAGGCAGGCGAGUGGGAAGUUACUAGACUCCAUUUCUUUAUGGGUUGAUCUGAGGUUCCAGUUCAGUUAAAGUACUGAUAGAACACCAAGUGUUUGCCAUAAUACAGCAACAUUUCAUUUGUAACUAUGUAUUUGUUUGAAUUGUUGAAACAGUACUGUUUACUAAAUAAUGUGUAUGUAUAUGAAGAAUAAUAUUAUAAAUAAUUUGUAAGAACCUUUUGAUAUUAAGUAAAAUGUCGAUAAGUCUAAAUAUGUAUCUGCGAAUCAUUUUUGUAUCUCUGUAAAGAUUACAUUGCCUAUAUUCCUCAAUUUAUAUUUUUCUUUUAGCCAGUCAAUAACUUUGUUAAGUUCUAUCUUCAAAAUUGUCGGGACAGGGAUUAUAGCCCUUAAUUAACCCAAAUAUGUAACAUUCAAUGCAAAAUUGGCUGCAAUUAGGCAGUUCAGAUGCAGGAACAAACAUCACUUGGGUCCUUAAUAAUAGCUUUCCAUCUGACAUUGAAGAUCCAAUAAAAGGAAUUUGUCAUGUGACUGUUUAUUAACUCUCAAUUUAUUGAAAGUGAAAUUACGUACAUGAUUUGUAAGAACUAAAUUAUAAAGAUAUCAAAUGAUUGUUUAAAUUAAAUAAAAUAGAUGAUUACAUACAUGAACUAUUUUUAUUAUUGUUUGUCAUAUGAAGAAUAAUGCAAUGGCUUUUGAAUUUUAUAAAAGGAUGGAAAAAAUAUAUGCUUAAGCUAUUAAUUAAGUAUUUUUUUCUCUUUUUUUUCAAACUGUGCUAUCUUAUAAAACAAAUAAAAUAGAUGAUUACAUACAUGAAUUAUUUUUAUUUCUUGUUUGUCAAUAUGAAGAGUAAUGCAAUGGCUUUUGAAUUUCAUAAAAAAGGAUGGAAAAAUGUAUGUUUAUUGUUUAAGCAAUUAAUUAAGUAAUAAAAGUUUGUUUUUUUCUUUUUUUCAAAUUGUGCUAUCUUAUAAUACAGAUCGUUAUUUGUUUAAUUUUGGUACAAAUGAAGUAUAUAAGGUAUGUCUAAUGUUACAAAUAGCAAAAAUUCAAAUGCAAAUCAUGGUGACUUGACUAAAUGUGAAUGCUAAUUGAAUCAAAAUAGUUAAUAAAUAAUAAUGUUCAUUUGAAACAAUUGAGAGUAUAAGUUUGGUUUGUGUAUGCCAUAUAUUCCCGGGGGGGGGGGGGAAUGAAAAAAUGAAAAGUAUAUUACUAUGCGCAGUGCUAUAAUAAUUAAUAAGUAAAUGUUUUUGUGAUCACAAUUUGUCCGGCGUCCGUCUGUCGUCCGUCCGUCCGUAAACUUUUACUUUAAACGACAUCUCCUCAUAAACCGCUUAGCCAAUUUCUUCCAAACUUUACAGGAAUGUUCCUUGGGUGGUCCCCUUUGAAAAUUGUUCAAAGAAUGGAAUUCCAUGCAGAACUCUGGUUGCCAUGGCAACGGAAAGGAAAAACUUUAAAAAUCUUAUUUUUCAAAACCACAAGGCCUAGAGCCUUAAUAUUUGGUAUAUAGCAUCAUCUAGUGGUCCUCUACCAAAAUUGUUAAAACUAUCCCCCUGGGGUCAAAAAUGGCCCUGCCCCGGGGGUCACUUGUUUUACAUAGACUUAUAUAGGGAAAACUUUAAAAAUCUUCUUCUCAAAAACCACAAGGCCUAGAACCUUGAAAAUUCUCCUGGGGUCAAAAAUGGCCCCGCCCCAGGGGUCACUAGUUUCAUUACAUAGUGUUAUAUAGUAAAUCUUUAAAAAUCUUCUCCGAAACUGUAAGGCCCAGGGCUUAGAUAUUUGGUAUACAGCAUCAUCUAGUGGACCUCUACCAGAUUUGUUCAAAUUAUUGCCACAGGGUCAAAAUUGACCCCGCCUAGGGGGUCCUUGUUUUUACGUAGUGUUAUAUAGUAAAUCUUUAAAAAUAUUCUUCUCCAGAACCGUAAGGCCAGGAGAAUAGAUAUUUGGUAUACAACAUCAUCUUGUGGACCUCUAUCAAAGUUGUUCAAAUUAUUGCCACAGGGUCAAAAUUGGCCCCGCCCUGAAAGUUAUUUGUUUUUAUAUAGUCUUAUAUAAUAAAACUUUAAAAAUC